RNAcentral lists this ribosomal RNA (460 nucleotides) under uncultured bacterium. RNAcentral describes it as "partial 16S ribosomal RNA". It matches the Rfam family "Bacterial small subunit ribosomal RNA", at positions 338 to 795 of the family's 1533-position model. The record is from RNAcentral.
CCUACGGGCGGCAGCAGUGAGGAAUAUUGGUCAAUGGGCGUAAGCCUGAACCAGCCAAGCCGCGUGAGGGAUGAAGGUUCCAUGGAUUGUAAACCUCUUUUAUAAGGGAAUAAAGUGCGGGACGUGUCCCGUUUUGUAUGUACCUUAUGAAUAAGGAUCGGCUAACUCCGUGCCAGCAGCCGCGGUAAUACGGAGGAUCCGAGCGUUAUCCGGAUUUAUUGGGUUUAAAGGGUGCGUAGGCGGCCUUUUAAGUCAGCGGUGAAAGUCUGUGGCUCAACCAUAGAAUUGCCGUUGAAACUGGGAGGCUUGAGUAUGUUUGAGGCAGGCGGAAUGCGUGGUGUAGCGGUGAAACGCUUAGAUAUCACGCAGAACCCCGAUUGCGAAGGCAGCCUGCCAAGCCAUGACUGACGCUGAUGCACGAAAGCGUGGGGAUCAAACAGGAUUAGAUACCCCAGUAGUC